AUUGAACGCUGGCGGCAUGCCUUACACAUGCAAGUCGAACGGUAACAGGUCUUCGGAUGCUGACGAGUGGCGAACGGGUGAGUAAUACAUCGGAACGUGCCCGAUCGUGGGGGAUAACGAAGCGAAAGCUUUGCUAAUACCGCAUACGAUCUACGGAUGAAAGCAGGGGACCGCAAGGCCUUGCGCGAACGGAGCGGCCGAUGGCAGAUUAGGUAGUUGGUGGGAUAAAAGCUUACCAAGCCGACGAUCUGUAGCUGGUCUGAGAGGACGACCAGCCACACUGGGACUGAGACACGGCCCAGACUCCUACGGGAGGCAGCAGUGGGGAAUUUUGGACAAUGGGCGAAAGCCUGAUCCAGCCAUGCCGCGUGCAGGAUGAAGGCCUUCGGGUUGUAAACUGCUUUUGUACGGAACGAAAAGACUCUGGUUAAUGCCUGGGGUCCAUGACGGUACCGUAAGAAUAAGCACCGGCUAACUACGUG
This 482-nucleotide ribosomal RNA is filed under the name uncultured bacterium. RNAcentral's name for it is "partial 16S ribosomal RNA". It matches the Rfam family "Bacterial small subunit ribosomal RNA", at positions 30 to 507 of the family's 1533-position model. The record is from RNAcentral.